GUCCACGCUGUAACGAUGUCGACUUGGAGGUUGUGCCCUUGAGGCGUGGCUUCCGGAGCUAACGCGUUAAGUCGACCGCCUGGGGAGUACGGCCGCAAGGUUAAACUCAAAUGAAUUGACGGGGCCCGCACAAGCGGUGGAGCAUGUGGUUUAAUUCGAUGCAACGCGAAGAACCUUACCUACUCUUGACAUCCACAGAACUUUCCAGAGAUGGAUUGGUGCCUUCGGGAACUGUGAGACAGGUGGUGCAUGGUUGUCGU
Molecule: ribosomal RNA, 260 nt
Filed under: uncultured bacterium
Lineage: Bacteria
Description: partial 16S ribosomal RNA
Rfam family: Bacterial small subunit ribosomal RNA
Source: RNAcentral